Molecule: ribosomal RNA, 407 nt
Filed under: uncultured bacterium
Lineage: Bacteria
Description: partial 16S ribosomal RNA
Rfam family: Bacterial small subunit ribosomal RNA
Source: RNAcentral
AUUGAACGCUGGCGGCAGGCCUAACACAUGCAAGUCGAGCGGAGCGGGGGGCGGGUGAGUGAUGCCUAUCAAUCUACCUGCCAGUUGGGGAUACCUAACGGAAAGGAGCGCUAAUACCGCAUACUAUCAAAUGAGCCUAGGUGGGAUUAGCUAGUUGGUGGGGUAAAGGCUCACCUAGGCGACGAUCCGUACCUGGUCUGUGAGGAUGAUCAGCCACACUGGAACUGAGACACGGUCCAGACUCCUACGGGAGGCAGCAGUGGGGAAUAUUGCACAAUGGGCGAAAGCCUGAUGCAGCCAUGCCGCGUGUGUGAAGAAGGUCUUCGGGUUGUAAAGCACUUUAAGUGGGGAGGCGUUACCAACAGAAGAAGCACCGGCUAACUCCGUGCCAGCAGCCGCGGUAAUUC